This 104-nucleotide transfer RNA is filed under the name Pseudomonas fluorescens. RNAcentral's name for it is "tRNA-Arg". The record is from RNAcentral. Lineage: Bacteria; Pseudomonadati; Pseudomonadota; Gammaproteobacteria; Pseudomonadales; Pseudomonadaceae.
AUCCGUUGAUGGCGCGGUUGAUUGCCGAGCGCCCGGGAUUGCGGGUUCCGGGGGCGUGGGACGGUCUCGAACUGGCGAUUCGUGCGGUGUUGGGUCAGCAGAUU